UGGUGGGUAGUUUGACUGGGGCGGUCUCCUCCUAAAGAGUAACGGAGGAGCACGAAGGUUGGCUAAUCCUGGUCGGACAUCAGGAGGUUAGUGCAAUGGCAUAAGCCAGCUUGACUGCGAGCGUGACGGCGCGAGCAGGUGCGAAAGCAGGUCAUAGUGAUCCGGUGGUUCUGAAUGGAAGGGCCAUCGCUCAACGGAUAAAAGGUACUCCGGGGAUAACAGGCUGAUACCGCCCAAGAGUUCAUAUCGACGGCGGUGUUUGGCACCUCGAUGUCGGCUCAUCACAUCCUGGGGCUGAAGUAGGUCCCAAGGGUAUGGCUGUUCGCCAUUUAAAGUGGUACGCGAGCUGGGUUUAGAACGUCGUGAGACAGUUCGGUCCCUAUCUGCCGUGGGCGCUGGAGAACUGAGGGGGGCUGCUCCUAGUACGAGAGGACCGGAGUGGACGCAUCACUGGUGUUCGGGUU
Molecule: ribosomal RNA, 464 nt
Filed under: Escherichia coli
Lineage: Bacteria; Pseudomonadati; Pseudomonadota; Gammaproteobacteria; Enterobacterales; Enterobacteriaceae
Also listed under: 5 other names
Description: partial 23S ribosomal RNA
Rfam family: Bacterial large subunit ribosomal RNA
Source: RNAcentral